GAUGAACGCUGGCGGCGUGCCUAAUACAUGCAAGUCGAGCGAACGGACGAGAAGCUUGCUUCUCUGAUGUUAGCGGCGGACGGGUGAGUAACACGUGGAUAACCUACCUAUAAGACUGGGAUAACUUCGGGAAACCGGAGCUAAUACCGGAUAAUAUUUUGAACCGCAUGGUUCAAAAGUGAAAGACGGUCUUGCUGUCACUUAUAGAUGGAUCCGCGCUGCAUUAGCUAGUUGGUAAGGUAACGGCUUACCAAGGCAACGAUGCAUAGCCGACCUGAGAGGGUGAUCGGCCACACUGGAACUGAGACACGGUCCAGACUCCUACGGGAGGCAGCAGUAGGGAAUCUUCCGCAAUGGGCGAAAGCCUGACGGAGCAACGCCGCGUGAGUGAUGAAGGUCUUCGGAUCGUAAAACUCUGUUAUUAGGGAAGAACAUAUGUGUAAGUAACUGUGCACAUCUUGACGGUACCUAAUCAGAAAGCCACGGCUAACUACGUGCCAGCAGCCGCGGUAAUACGUAGGUGGCAAGCGUUAUCCGGAAUUAUUGGGCGUAAAGCGCGCGUAGGCGGUUUUUUAAGUCUGAUGUGAAAGCCCACGGCUCAACCGUGGAGGGUCAUUGGAAACUGGAAAACUUGAGUGCAGAAGAGGAAAGUGGAAUUCCAUGUGUAGCGGUGAAAUGCGCAGAGAUAUGGAGGAACACCAGUGGCGAAGGCGACUUUCUGGUCUGUAACUGACGCUGAUGUGCGAAAGCGUGGGGAUCAAACAGGAUUAGGUACCCUGGUAGUCCACGCCGUAAACGAUGAGUGCUAAGUGUUAGGGGGUUUCCGCCCCUUAGUGCUGCAGCUAACGCAUUAAGCACUCCGCCUGGGGAGUACGACCGCAAGGUUGAAACUCAAAGGAAUUGACGGGGACCCGCACAAGCGGUGGAGCAUGUGGUUUAAUUCGAAGCAACGCGAAGAACCUUACCAAAUCUUGACAUCCUCUGACAACUCUAGAGAUAGAGCCUUCCCCUUCGGGGGACAAAGUGACAGGUGGUGCAUGGUUGUCGUCAGCUCGUGUCGUGAGAUGUUGGGUUAAGUCCCGCAACGAGCGCAACCCUUAAGCUUAGUUGCCAUCAUUAAGUUGGGCACUCUAAGUUGAUUGCCGGUGACAAACCGGAGGAAGGUGGGGAUGACGUCAAAUCAUCAUGCCCCUUAUGAUUUGGGCUACACACGUGCUACAAUGGACAAUACAAAGGGCAGCGAAACCGCGAGGUCAAGCAAAUCCCAUAAAGUUGUUCUCAGUUCGGAUUGUAGUCUGCAACUCGACUACAUGAAGCUGGAAUCGCUAGUAAUCGUAGAUCAGCGUGCUACGGUGAAUACGUUCCCGGGUCU
RNAcentral lists this ribosomal RNA (1372 nucleotides) under uncultured bacterium. RNAcentral's name for it is "bacterial SSU rRNA". It matches the Rfam family "Bacterial small subunit ribosomal RNA", at positions 28 to 1381 of the family's 1533-position model. The record is from RNAcentral.